AAACCUGUAAGUUUAUCACUAGCACACGACUUGAGGUUUAUAACCUAUCAUGUUGACAUAUUAUGUGCUCAUUCCAGUUAAAGUUGGCUUUGCAUAUGAGUUCUUAGAGUUCUCAAUUGGUUGCAUAACAACUUGGAAGCAAUGACAGGCCCUUAAGCUGCCAGAUGGCAAUAAAUUAACAUUGAGUUCAGUCCAUAUGAGUUUGGAUUUGUUAUUAUCCUUGUCUUGUGACUAUGGUUUUGACAGUUCACAUGGAUAAGAACACAUACACCAUUAAAUCUAAGUGUCAUAAGGUUUCUCUCCGAUUCAUGAAAAUGAUGGUGAGGAAACACUUUCACUAAGUAGAUUUUAACUAGAUAUAAAUUGUG
Molecule: long non-coding RNA, 368 nt
Filed under: Lactuca sativa (garden lettuce)
Lineage: Eukaryota; Viridiplantae; Streptophyta; Magnoliopsida; Asterales; Asteraceae
Description: long non-coding RNA (LSAT_LNC003925)
Source: RNAcentral